UUUUCUGCUGUGUGUGGAGAGACAAGAACAUGCACUGUGCUGUGUGUGGAGGAAUGCAGGAACGAGCGAGGAACAGGAGAAAUACAGGAAUAUACAGUUAAAAUCAGCCAACUGCUGCGAGAAAAAGUGUUAGAAUUAAGCAUUUGGGCAGUACAAGAACCUGUAUGAGCUGCGCUUUCUAGCUUUGAUUCCUGUGGAUUUUCAUGAAGUGCACGUCUUUACUGCUCUGAGAGUGAGGCAAAAUGUGGGACAGAAGUGGAGUUGUAUGACUGAAUGGGUGAAUGGAGCUCUCAGCAGUGUAGCUGUGCACGGUCAGCCUGUGAGGGAAGCAGCACUGCAGCUUUCCACUUUACAGGCUCAGAAGACUCUCUGUUCACAGCUCCAACACUUAUCUCCCCUGAGCAGGUGUGUGUGUGUGUGCCAGAGUUCGCAUGCAGGCAAGCAUGGAUUUAUCUGACUUGUUUUUCUCAGCAUUCAGAUGUGUGUUUGUGCAUUUGCAACUGUGAAUGUGUGUGAGUUAACACAGUUACCAUAUGACUGAGUGUGAGUUUCCUCUUAUCAAAGUGGAGGUGAGAGAAGCUGAGGCAGAAACAAGGUGAGAAGGAGAAAAAAGGCUGGACAACACUACUUUUUAAAAAUACAUCCCUCUCACCUGCUUUUUUCUCCUUAAAAAAGUACACUGUAAUAGCCCAUUGCAAUUUUCCUCAGCACACAAUGCAGCACCAUACUGCAUCAAGGUGCUAUUGGCUAAAACAUCUGAGUGAUGCUUCACUGAGCCGUGUGGAGGCCAGGAGAGUCUCUGGAACGACUUACUCCAGGUGUGUGAAUUAUCUAAAAAUCUUAACUCCACACGCUGAUAUUGUCAUGUAUUAUUGUCACUACCACAAACAGCUAUUUAUUAUUUGAGGUAAAAUUUAUUGUAGUGAUGGAAAAGAGUCAUCUGAGGCAGUUAAAGAGAAAUUCUGAUAUGAAUAAAUUAUUGAUGGUUUACAUUAUAUAUUGAGUUCACCACUCUAGAAAGAUGGAAGCUGAUGGAGACAGAUAUGGCCAGUGUUCUCUCCUCAGUUGAGUGGCCAGUUCCUUCUGUGCUGCAGUCCUUGUUGCCACUGGCUCCCUCUGUUGGCCUGACAGGGUUUCAUUUGCCUCUAGGUACAGUGCUUUGCACAUUUUUUAUUUGUGCAUAAAAAGCUAUAAAUGUGGUAUACAAUGGUGGAGUUUACCAAGAAGCAGUGCUGAGGGGAAUGCUGGAACUCUAACACAGCACAGUCCACUCCUGCUCACACAGUAUCACACUGACACUGGGGCUAACUUUUAUAGUAAAUGUCUGGUUUGUAGCUUUACCUUCCUGAAGUUUUAUUAUACUAGUUUUGUGAUGCAACAGUCUGGGCUGCACUUGUUGGGAUUUAAUUCACCAUUUAAUUUAGCAAAUAAAACAUGAAAGAAAGAAAACAUAGCUUUUUUUUCAAAUAACAAAAAUUUAAAAUGAUGAUUAUUUUAAUACAUUUAAAUAUGAUCAAAUUAUGAAAUGUGUCAUCUUGUAAUCUUUCAUUGGAAAUAUGAUGAAACUAAAAAAAAAACAAA
This is a long non-coding RNA of Lates calcarifer (barramundi perch), 1581 nucleotides long. RefSeq lists it as uncharacterized. The record is from RefSeq and is a predicted model, not a curated record. NCBI's taxonomy places the organism in Eukaryota, Metazoa, Chordata, Actinopteri, Centropomidae. The transcript has 2 exons.